This 354-nucleotide ribosomal RNA is filed under the name Triticum aestivum (bread wheat). RNAcentral's name for it is "partial small subunit ribosomal RNA". Lineage: Eukaryota; Viridiplantae; Streptophyta; Magnoliopsida; Poales; Poaceae. The record is from RNAcentral.
AUGUCUUGCUCCUCCGGUGAUUCGUCAGCUUCUCGAGGCGGUGGGCUCCGAAGGAGAGGCGUAGCAGCAAGGUCUUUGGUGCCCUAUCGGGAGCAACCAAUGGCUUACGAGCAGGCGGUGAUUUGCGCUCAGUGCGGCAGGAAGGCGCCGCGGUGGAUAUCCUAGAGUCCGGCGAACCCUGGUAGGAGAUAUUAUUCGUGCGUAGAUUUGCAGGUAAGCUUGAUUCCUCACAUGUCCUCUUGUUCUCUGUUUUUGUUCUGUCAAACUCCGAAUUUUCUGUGUCAUGAACUGAACAGCAUGGCUUCAUCGACUGGCAUGACGCCCCCACAACUCCAUUUGUUCGUCAAUUGCUAG